UAGGGAUGAUGAUGAACGUAUAGCACCAGCGAGAGUGAGGCCUCCUUAUCAUUGUGGAGGCAACCAGAGCGCCGCCGAAUGGCGACGGCCAAGGGACAGAACCGCGCCGCCGUGCAUGGAACCAAGAUGCCGGUCUUCAUUGACUGGUGAUUUUGUAAAAGGAAGAAGAGGAAAGGGAGAUUGAGAAGGGGAAGGAAAAGAAAGAGAAGAAAAGGAAGGAGAUGGAGGAAGACUCACAAAUCAACCUGCCGGGGCCAGGAAGAAAGAAGCGUCCAAGCCCACACUAUUCGCUUCGGCUCCAACUCUCCUACACGUGAUCACUAACUGCCCCUGGCUAGCCACUUUUCCAUAUUUAUUUGUAGAGUAAUAUUAGAACUCAUCAUUAUGACUUUUUAUUAGAGGGGAUUAAAAAAAUUAUGUGUCAUUAUCUUAUUUAUAAGGAUUUA
Long non-coding RNA from Diospyros lotus (date-plum), 446 nucleotides. RefSeq lists it as uncharacterized. The transcript is spliced from 2 exons. NCBI's taxonomy places the organism in Eukaryota, Viridiplantae, Streptophyta, Magnoliopsida, Ericales, Ebenaceae. The record is from RefSeq and is a predicted model, not a curated record.